Molecule: ribosomal RNA, 216 nt
Filed under: Glomeromycotina sp.
Lineage: Eukaryota; Fungi; Glomeromycota
Description: partial small subunit ribosomal RNA
Rfam family: Eukaryotic small subunit ribosomal RNA (bases 87-216)
Source: RNAcentral
GGGUCAGUAGGUUGGUCGUGCCACCGGUACGUACUGGUCUCACUGAUUCCUCCUUCCUGAAGAACCGUAAUGCCACUAAUUUGGUGUUGCGGGGAAACAGGACUGUUACUUUGAAAAAAUUAGGGUGUUUAAAGCAAGCUAACGCUUGAAUACAUUAGCAUGGAAUAAUGAAAUAGGACGAUCGAUCCUAUUUUGUUGGUUUCUAGGAUUGACGUA